Molecule: ribosomal RNA, 395 nt
Filed under: uncultured bacterium
Lineage: Bacteria
Description: bacterial SSU rRNA
Rfam family: Bacterial small subunit ribosomal RNA
Source: RNAcentral
GACGAACGCUGGCGGCGUGCCUAACACAUGCAAGUGGAGCGACGAACCAGGCUUCGGCCUGGGGCAAAGCCGCGAACGGGUGAGUAACACGUGGGUAACCUGCCCUGAUGAUUGGGACAACCCGAGGAAACUCGGGCUAAUACCAAAUGUGCCCUUCGGCCAUAAGGCCGCCGGGGAAAGGAAGCUUCGGCCUCCGCAUCUGGAUGGGCCCGCGGCCUAUCAGCUUGUUGGUGGGGUGAUGGCCACCAAGGCGACGACGGGUAGCCGGCCUGAGAGGGCGACCGGCCACACUGGGACUGAGACACGGCCCAGACUCCUACGGGAGGCAGCAGUGGGGAAUCUUGCGCAAUGGGCGAAAGCCUGACGCAGCGACGCCGCGUGAGGGAUGACGGCCU